This 416-nucleotide long non-coding RNA is filed under the name Homo sapiens (human). Its description in RNAcentral is "non-protein coding lnc-DCAF17-3:1". Lineage: Eukaryota; Metazoa; Chordata; Mammalia; Primates; Hominidae. The record is from RNAcentral.
UAUGAAUGUAUCACAUUUUGUGUGUAUGUGUCACAUCCAUUCAUCUGUUUAUGGAUAUUGGAUAAUUUUCAUAUUUUAGCUAUUAUCAAUAAUGCUGCUGUAGGCCAGACACAGUGGCUUAUACCUGUAAUCUCAGCACUUUGAGAGGCCAAGGCAGGAGCAUCACUUGAGGCCAGGAGUUCAAGACCAGACUGGACAACACAGCAAGACCCUCUUUCUAAAUAAAAUAAUAAUACCACUGCUGUAAACAUUUAUAUACAAGUUUGUGUGUAGACAUAUGUUUUCAAUUCUCCUGGGUAAAUACUUAGAAUGAAAUUAAUGGCCAUUUGGUAACUAUGUUUAACUUUUUGAGCAACUGCCAAACUGUUACACCAUUUUACAUUCCCAGCAGCAAGGUAUGAACGUUUCAAUUCCUC